RNAcentral lists this unclassified non-coding RNA (389 nucleotides) under uncultured Phycisphaerae bacterium. Its description in RNAcentral is "contains 16S-23S intergenic spacer region". Lineage: Bacteria; Pseudomonadati; Planctomycetota; Phycisphaerae. The record is from RNAcentral.
UCCGGCUUAACGCCGGCAGUCUCGCUAGAGUCCCCAGCAUGACCUGUUGGCAACUAACGACAGGGGUUUCGCUCGUUAAGGGACUUAACCCGACACUUCACAGCACGAGCUGACGACAGCCAUGCAACACCUGUGCAAGUUUCACCCCGAAGGGCAGCUGACCUGAGUUAUCCCCUGGCAGCAUCCAAGCAUGUCAAACCCGGGUAAGGUUCUUCGCGUUGCUUCGAAUUAAGCCACAUGCUCCACCGCUUGUGUGAGCCCCCGUCAAUUCCUUUGAGUUUUAGCCUUGCGGCCGUACUCCCCAGGCGGCACACUUAGCACUUUUGCUUCGGCGCCGAGGACGUCAGAGUCUCCGGCACCUAGUGUGCAUCGUUUACGGCGUGGACUAC